This 575-nucleotide ribosomal RNA is filed under the name Aureobasidium pullulans. RNAcentral's name for it is "eukaryotic LSU rRNA". The stretch from base 202 to 355 matches the Rfam family "5.8S ribosomal RNA". Lineage: Eukaryota; Fungi; Ascomycota; Dothideomycetes; Dothideales; Saccotheciaceae. The record is from RNAcentral.
GAACCUGCGGAAGGAUCAUUAAAGAGUAAGGGUGCUCAGCGCCCGACCUCCAACCCUUUGUUGUUAAAACUACCUUGUUGCUUUGGCGGGACCGCUCGGUCUCGAGCCGCUGGGGAUUCGUCCCAGGCGAGCGCCCGCCAGAGUUAAACCAAACUCUUGUUAUUUAACCGGUCGUCUGAGUUAAAAUUUUGAAUAAAUCAAAACUUUCAACAACGGAUCUCUUGGUUCUCGCAUCGAUGAAGAACGCAGCGAAAUGCGAUAAGUAAUGUGAAUUGCAGAAUUCAGUGAAUCAUCGAAUCUUUGAACGCACAUUGCGCCCCUUGGUAUUCCGAGGGGCAUGCCUGUUCGAGCGUCAUUACACCACUCAAGCUAUGCUUGGUAUUGGGUGCCGUCCUUAGUUGGGCGCGCCUCAAAGACCUCGGCGAGGCCUCACCGGCUUUAGGCGUAGUAGAAUUUAUUCGAACGUCUGUCAAAGGAGAGGACUUCUGCCGACUGAAACCUUUUAUUUUUCUAGGUUGACCUCGGAUCAGGUAGGGAUACCCGCUGAACUUAAGCAUAUCAAUAAGCGGGAGGAA